ACACAGUGUCUGCCCUGUGGUAAGAGCUCCAAAAUUGUUGUUGCCCAAAUGAAUGGGAGGAUGAGUAAGUCAGAAAAAAAUGGUGGUCCUGAGAGCUGACCUGUUGGUUCCUAUUAGGAUGACGUUGUCUUAACCUCAGGAGACCCUGCUCUUGGCUUCCCUGCCACCCCCCACCCCACUCUCCUCCCCACAUUGUUGGACAGACACCUCAUUUCCCCACUUCUCUAAAACGUUUUGGAUUCAGAAAAUAGCAAUCAUUUAGGAAAAUGGGUAAUUACUGAGGGCUCAAUCACGGAAAACAUGUAACUCCUGGAGUCUUUGGUGAAAUGUCAAGGACUUGAUUAGAACAAGCCCAGUCCCUGGUGAUUUGAAGAAAAUAUGAUCUGUUUGUCCUAGAGGGGGAAGAAGGAUCACUCUUUGUUUACAAACCAGCCUGGCUAAUCCCUUCUGACAAUAUGGGAAGUCAUUCUGCUUGGCUGAAGUAUUAUUUCAAGGCUCCCUUAAGGAAGAACUAUCUUCUACUCAAUUAAAGCAGAGCCUGAACUUGUUCUGACCCCAUCAUUCCACAGCCAGGAAAGCAGGCUUGGCUCCUUCCAGCGGGGUGGCUGCCCGGGCUCCAGGCCGAGUGCUGUUACAUCAGGACGUCUCAAGCAUUUACUGGGGAACCAUCACUUCUGUCUUUUUAUCCAUUUCCAAGCUUCCUGUGGUGGCAGAAUUCACGCUAGCAAUAUGGGCACGUGAUGUACUCCAUUCAAGGCAUGGCCAAUCAGAGCAUUCCAUUAGUCCCUGGCCUUGUGAUUGGUUCAGAGGUGGAAGUGUGAUCAAAUCCAGGCCCACAAGCAUCAGCCGGCCCCAGUGUCUUUAGAGAAACUGGCAGAAUAAGGAGCUCUCUUUCCACUGGUCUCAUGAAGUGGUAAAAUUCACAGGUAACUGGAAUAAAAUCCAAAGUACUUAUGGAAAAAGGAAGUAGGAUGGAGAUCUUCUGGGUUAUAGAAGUAACUGCCUUCAGGCAUGGCUGCAUCCAGAAACUGAACUGAUGGCAUUGGGUCUUGACCGCUCUCUUCAUCUCUCAGCCUGGUUUUCUGCAUGUAACAGGCAAGAUGGAUAUUGGAAGCCCAGGUCAGUGUAACAAACCCAGAACAGGUGGAAGGAAGUCUUCUGAUUGGCCUGGCUUAAGUCGUGUGCCCAUGAUGGAUCCAAUCAUGUGGUUAGGUCAUCUGGCCAGAUCCAGCCCCUUGGACAUAGAGCUGUGAGAAAACAUUCGUUCUUUUAGAUCCAACUCGUGGUGCAACCCUCAGGAAAUUUCCCUCUGCCAGCUGCCCAAGUUGGCCAGACAACUUAUCCUCUGAUCAGGGGGGGUCACACAUCAUCCCAAGAGAAUGGUUAUUUUUUUCUGAAGGCUGUAGGGCAGUAGAAGGAGAGGGAAGAGGCUUAAAAUAAAACACAUACACACACAGUAGACCAGUGAGUAAUACUGAUGGGCUCACACAGACUUCAGGAUUAAUUUAUAGAUGCUUCUUAAGCUGAAGUGACUUGUUCAGGCAACUGGGACAGGCCAGGCCACAUUCCCUCGGCUCUCCAUCUACUGAACCUUUCUGUCCUCAGCCCAGCUAAUGCAGAGGAAGAAAAGAACUGACACUGGCCACAGGCCCCCGUGUGAUCACGCUCCAGGUCUCUGCACUCAAGCCUCCCGGAAUAUUAGAGUCCUAAUACUUUUUUUCAAAUUUCUUUAGUUGUUUUGUUUUUUUCAAUCAAGGCAAAGUUUACAGAGUGCAAUGUACCUGUCUUUAGUGUGCAAUGCAAUGACUUUUGAUGAACCUA
Molecule: long non-coding RNA, 1821 nt
Organism: Bubalus bubalis (water buffalo)
Lineage: Eukaryota; Metazoa; Chordata; Mammalia; Artiodactyla; Bovidae
Exons: 4
Source: RefSeq, a predicted model, not a curated record